RNAcentral lists this unclassified non-coding RNA (944 nucleotides) under Hevea brasiliensis (rubber tree). Lineage: Eukaryota; Viridiplantae; Streptophyta; Magnoliopsida; Malpighiales; Euphorbiaceae. The record is from RNAcentral.
GGCAGCAACUGGUUAGUUAUGUUGUGCACCUCCUGUUUUACAUUUAACGAAUUCACGUUAUGAUACAUUAUAUUCUAAGGUCCCUUUGAUCAGGGGAUGUGAAAAUUGAAAUUCGAGAAUUUGUCUGGGUUCUUUUGUACGUUCAAAGGAGAAUGGAAAAAUAUGCUUAAUUCUAAUUUUAGAUGUUUAUUUGCAAUUACAUCUUGAUAACAAGUAGGAUUAAUUACAAAAAUUAAAAAAUAAAAAAACCUUUGAGGCUUGCCUCAAAAUGCACUUUGGUUCUUGCUAUUUCAAAGUUAGCAAAUUUAGUUCCUAUGGCUUCUGAAUAACACAACAUUUUAUUCCUUGAUUACAAAAUUAUAUUUUUUCUAUACACUUUAGUCCUUGACAUUUUAAAUUAGAUUACAAUUUGAUGCAUAAGGCUUUAAAAUUUAAUUGUACUAUAGACCCUUAAUUAUUGUAUUCUAAAACAUUUUAAAAUUGCUAAUUUUAAAAUCUUAAGGACCAAAAUGUAUAUUAUUUAAACUGCAAGGAGAUUUUUUUGUUAUUAACACUAAGUAUUUCAAACUCACACUCAAACAAGUUGCAAUCUCUAUUCAUGAAUUUGGUACAUAUUAUAAAUAUCAUAACUCUCCUAUUAAAUUCAAAUUCUAUCAACUAAAAAUGUGUUCAGUUCCUAGGACAAGGAUCUCGUCACAGGUCGAUGAAUAGUCUUCUUUUAAAGCUGAUGCUUUGUUCUUGUUGCGGUUACAACUGCGCCUUAAAGGACUUAUGGUGAAUGAAAGCAGAAGCUCAUUUGAGGGAGCCCCAAACCUCAAGACUUGUUAAUAGAGAGAGUCUCAAACCUCAAUUGUAUUGACGAAAAUUUGUUUGCCUUGUUAAUUUAUCAAACCGUCUUUAUAUAGUAGAGGUUUACAGAGUGUAUUUAGAAUCCUAUCAGGAAU